CGUUCCGAGGAGCGUUGCGACGAAAUUCCCAUUUCGCCAGGCUCGGAAAUCCACCGCAACUGCGCUCACGUUAC
This 74-nucleotide non-coding RNA is filed under the name Janthinobacterium sp. RNAcentral's name for it is "SAH sequence". It matches the Rfam family "SAH (S-adenosyl-L-homocysteine) riboswitch aptamer". The record is from RNAcentral. Lineage: Bacteria; Pseudomonadati; Pseudomonadota; Betaproteobacteria; Burkholderiales; Oxalobacteraceae.